CCCCUUCAGGUGCGAUCGCUUCACCUAUGGGCUUGACGGGAAAAUUCAAAAUCGCGAACCGUUACAGCCUGGACGGUGUCUUUGUUUGCUUGCACAUCAACAGUAAGAGGUCAUGUACACUGUGGUCAACUUUGUGGACGCUGAAGAGGUUUCUGGGUAAAGAUGAUAGAAAUAUAAUGAAGUAACAGUGGAAGCUAAAACAUCAGACUGAUCCAGACACUGAAGAAAUUGAUGUCACUGCAAUCUGGCCAAAAUGAUACAACAAUGUUGAAGUAGCCUACUGUAAUGAAGCUGCAGAACGUCACAGAGACUCUGAGGACAUCAACACAGAAAAUCAAGGCUCCAAAGAGAUGUCUGUCCAGAUGAGGGUGCAUCAACGUUACCUUUGCUGACAAGUAUAUGCUUUAGCAGUUAACUUAACUCAAACCAUUUAAGGAAAUCGGUUGCCUUAAACCAUUAAGUUUUAAAAAACAUACAUUUGAGUACUUUGAACUAAAGUCUUGUGCAAUUAUGCACUUAUAUUUAGGUAGCGUGAACUUAAACAAAUUGAGUCACAUGCAGUUAAGCACUUAUAUUUAAGUUCACAGUACUCAAAUCUAUGUGUUUUAAAACUUGAAUGGUUUAAUGCAACCGGUUUUCUUAAAUGUGAGAAAUUACAGUGUUACAAUGAGAAAUGUUUGAAUAAUUCCAAGACAGAGCUCUGUGAUUAAUUCUACACUGCAAAAAAUCACUUUCUAACACUUUUUAUCUUGUUUUCAGUAGAAAAACUAAAAAUUCUUAAAUCAAGAUGUAUUUUCUUGAUGAGCAAAAUUACCUUAGAAAAUAUGUCUAGUUUUUAGACAAAAAUAUACAAUUUAAGAUAAUUUGUGCCUAAACAAGCAAAAAUAUCUAACAUUGGGGUGAGAAAUUUGUGUUUUAAUUAAGUUUUUAAGAUAAAAGAAAACUUAAGAUUUUUUUUCUCACACUAUUGGAAGAUAUUUUUGCUUGUUUUAAGCACAAUUUCACUUAAUGUAUGUGUGUGUAUUUUAUUUAUUUAUUUUGUCUAAAACUAGACUUAUUUUCUUGGGUCAUUUUGUUCCUCAAGAACAAGCAUUUUAAUUUAAAUAAUAUUUGUACUGAAAAGAAGACAAAAAUACUAUGUAAGAAAGUCAUUUUUUGCAGUGUAGGACUGAUUUCUUAAGAGCAAGAUCAAUAUAGUUGUUGUUCAUUUUAUUUAGAUAUUUACUACAUUACAGUGGCAGCUGGUGACUUCUUUUUUUUUUGUGAGCACUCGAUGCGAAGUUUGUCACAACAUGUAUAUAGCCCGUCAUUUGUGUGGUUCUCAAUUUCAAAAUAUGUGUUCUGCGUGUAUGUGUAUCACGUGUUUUGACUAAACACGUGAUGCACGUGGUUUACAUGAAGCAACAAACACAUAUUUUAAAAACACAAGCAACACACAUGACACUCCGAACACUUAUUUUGAAUUUGCAACCCUCGGAUGAGCAGUCACGAGCCGCCACUGCUACAUUACAUUGUACUGCUUUGAAUGUAGUUCUCAUUGUUGCUUUUAUUUUGUUUUAUUUUACUCUAAUAUUGCUUUCUCUGUCUGUAUAUUUAUGAGUUUAAAUUGUAUUGUUUAUGUAUGCAACUUUUAAUAUUUGUGUAUUUUAUUA
Misgurnus anguillicaudatus (oriental weatherfish) is the source of this 1652-nucleotide non-coding RNA. NCBI's taxonomy places the organism in Eukaryota, Metazoa, Chordata, Actinopteri, Cypriniformes, Cobitidae. The record is from RefSeq and is a predicted model, not a curated record.